Molecule: long non-coding RNA, 796 nt
Organism: Quercus robur (English oak)
Lineage: Eukaryota; Viridiplantae; Streptophyta; Magnoliopsida; Fagales; Fagaceae
Exons: 2
Source: RefSeq, a predicted model, not a curated record
UCAUGCGGUAAAAGGUGUGGCAAGGAGUUGUUUUAAGGAGCAUUGUUGUCUCACCUAGGGCAAAACUCUUUUCAUAUUCUCUUGCUCCUCCUCCUUCGACCCUAUCGUCCUCUUUGUCUCCUCCUCCAAACAGGUGUGACAAUAGCCACAACGACACAGCCGCCGCCGAUCUACUGCUCAACCUACCACGGCAACCCUCCAACCCAAAUUCAACCCACCAUUUACUGCACCACGACCCACCACGCCCCAGACCCACUACGACCCAGAUUCACAAACCACCACCCCGCCGCCACCAGAUCCGACUCACCCCUCAACCAGUAGAUCGGUGAAGACCCGGACCGAAACCCACGGUUCUGCUUCUUACAGCCUUGCUUCUCUAGGUGAAGACCCGUGAAGACCUCGGAGACCUCGGUGAGGAGACGGUAAAGAUCCGGACGUUCUGCUUCUCUUUGCGUUUCUUGCAUCGAUUUUGAUUUUUGGAGCACUUUCAAAACAAAAGGUAUGUAAAGUUUUCUUAUUAAGUUUAAUGUUAACAUAUAUGAAAGAUAUUUUGGUCAAUUAGAAAAAGUUUGAGGAAACAUGAAAGGAAAAAGAACUAAAGAACACAAAAAAAAAAAAAAAAUUAGAAUAGUGCUGAAUUAGGCAAAGGCUUUUGGAGAUUGUUGUUUUUAUAUUUGGAAUUCUUAACAUUCAUGUGUAUCUAUGUAUUGGGUUUAAUAGAAUUGGAAUUAUCUUCGAAACUUUGGUUUUGAUUGAAUAAUGAAAGAAGAAGUAUGUUCCAAUAUUUAGAAUCUUC